Molecule: long non-coding RNA, 1009 nt
Organism: Gopherus evgoodei (Goodes thornscrub tortoise)
Lineage: Eukaryota; Metazoa; Chordata; Testudines; Testudinidae
Exons: 4
Source: RefSeq, a predicted model, not a curated record
CAGGACCCAGACAGGUGCUACAGGCCCAUACCUGGGGCCCUGACACCUGGAACCAUGCGAAGGCACCAGAAUAUUGUCCAUGGAGCAUUGUCAACCUUUGUGGUUGACAAAAAAAGCUUGAAAAUGUGAUGCCAGUGUAACCAGUGCAGACUGAGUCUGCAGAGAGCCUGAGACGGGGCUCCGACUGUAGCCGAAGCAGCAACACCCCACUGAAGCCAUGCAGGGCUCCGACUGUAACCGAAGCAGCAACACCCCACUGAGGCCAUGCAGGGCUGAGUGUAAUGAUGCAACGACCCUGCCUGAGACUGGCUGGGGGGGUGCACUGGGGUUGUCUAUGGAGCUGAGGAAAGAACCCAGGAGUCCUGCCUUCAGAGAAGGGACUUCAGCUCAGCAUUGAGACAAGCAUCCCAGGUCCACCCAUCGCUGAGUACAGGAGGGGAGCUAACCUGCCAGGCGGGCGAGGAAGUGCUGCCCAGGGCCUCCUCCCAGGCCCAGUGACGCCUCUCCCGCCUGCCUGGCUCGGGGAGAGCCUGAACCUAUUGCUGUGAAAUGGAGCAAACCGCCCUGGGUGUGACCGACGCUGCCUGAGUUUGCUGAGAGCCUGAACCCAUCACUGUGUGAGGGGGAGGGGACUUUUCUUUCUUUCUUUCUUUUCCCCCAGGCCUUGUCCAUUGCUCUACUUGUCAAUCGGUCCCCCAGCUGUCCCACUCAUUCCCUGUCUCAGGCUCCAUGCCGUCAGAUCAGCCCUCGGUCCCGUCCCUAGGAGCCGGGGAAGGCCUGUGACAGGGCAGCAGGGGCCUGUCUAGCUGUGGCAGCCUCUGCCUGGGAUGGUCAGGAACCUGCUGCUGUGAGAUGAUCAGAGCUGCCAGCACCUGAGCUCAGCAAGCUGGGCCGGGGUCACUUGGGACACAAGUUUGUGGGUUCCUCAGCGGACAUGUUAACCCAGCUGCGUGGUUAGAGCAUGAACCAUCUGGGGACGGGGCAGCGUCCUGCUCUUUGUGUGUGUGCA